UACAGGUCAGAAAGGAAGAAAUAAAACUCUUUUCGCAGGUUAUGGCAGCUCUGGGCCCUGCUGCGCAUGAGCCUGACCAAUUUAAAGCGGAAUCCUGGCUCCAGGAAACCCAUGAGACGACCAAAAGGUCGGAGAAGAGGUAGAAAAUGCGGCAGAGGCCAUAAAAGAGAAAGGCAGAGAGGAAACUGGCUCUGCUGGGCUUUGGGGAUGGCCAGACUCUAUUUUACAUCGGAAUCCCAAAAUACAGAUUUAAUGAAGGACUUAGCUUCAGACACCAGUAUCAACCUUUAAGUAUCAAUAGACUGUAAUAUGUUACUGAUUUGGGUCGUGUUGAUCCUACUCAACCUAUUGACUUAACCCAGCUUGUCAAUGGAAGAGGUGUGACCAUUCAGCCACUUAAAGAGGAUUAUGGUGUUCAGCUGGUCGAAAAGGCCGCAGACACCUUUCAGUUAAUAUUGAAGUACAGUUGGCUUCAGAACUAGCUAUUGCUGCAAUUGAAAAAAAUGGUGGUGGUGUCACUACAGCCUUACAGGAUCCAAGAAGUCUGGAAAUUCUAUCCAAACCUGUUCCAUUCUUUUUGGAGACAACCCAUUCCAAAAAGAAUGCUUCCUUCUGAAGCACUGGUACCAUAUUCCACCAAUGCAAAGAAUCGUGGGAACCUGGCAGAUCCUGCCAAAUUUCCUGAAGCACAACUUGAGCUUGCCAGGAAGGACAGUUCUAAUUUACUGGAUAUCACGAAAGAAGAACUCUUCAAAUGUUCAGUACUCAGAAGGAUCCAAGGCAGAUUUUCUUUGAGUUUGCUCCAGGAUGGGUGCUGAAUAUAGUAGAUAAGAAAAUCCUAACAUCUACAGAUGAAAAUCUCCUCAAGUACUAGAGCU
Molecule: long non-coding RNA, 878 nt
Filed under: Homo sapiens (human)
Lineage: Eukaryota; Metazoa; Chordata; Mammalia; Primates; Hominidae
Description: non-protein coding lnc-MESP2-2:1
Source: RNAcentral